RNAcentral lists this ribosomal RNA (831 nucleotides) under Triticum aestivum (bread wheat). RNAcentral describes it as "partial small subunit ribosomal RNA". Lineage: Eukaryota; Viridiplantae; Streptophyta; Magnoliopsida; Poales; Poaceae. The record is from RNAcentral.
AUGGGGACAGCAGUGCUGCCCGUCGCCCACAAGCUCUCGCUCGCCUCCCCCUUCCUCCCGUGCCACCGGCGGCCCUGCCGUCCCCCCGCCCAGCAGCACUGCCGGCGCCGGCGCCAUGGGGCGGUGGUGGCCUACAUGGAGCCGGACCCGAACUCGCCGGCGGCCAUCCUGGGCCGCAUCGUCGGGGCCCUCCCCGUGGUGGGCCUGGUGGCGCGCAUCCUGAGCGACGACGGCGGCGUCGGCGGCGACACCGUCGACUUCGCCGAGUUCCGCCGCCGCGUCAGCAAGAAGUGCACCGUCAUGGACUCCCAGGCCUUCUACGACUUCAACGACCGCCGCGGCAAGGUGGGAGACCCCUUCUACGUCCUGCUCUGCUGCUGGCUGGCCGCCAUUGGCGCCGGGCUGCUGAAAACGGAGGAGAUCCUGGAAGGCGUGGCCCGGCUCCGCAUGUCCAACGACAUCGAGUACGAGGAGGAGACCUUCCUCGACAUGAUGAAGAUUGCAAGGGAGAAACGGGCAAAGUCGAAGAGCCAGGCGCCGGUGAUACCGAUGGAGGCGCGGGCGGAGAAGGCGCUGGAGGCCAUCUACGUGUGCUGCUUCGGGCAGGACAUGGUGGAGCCGGAGGACGAGCGGCUGCUGUGCACCAUGCUGAACGCGGUGUUCCCGUCGGUGGGGAGGCCGGCGGUGGAGAGGAUGGUGUCCACCGUGGCCAAGGAGGUGGCCUCCGGCGAGAGGAGGGGCCCCGGCGCCAAGGUGGUGCCCAAGGAGGUGGCGCAGCGGCAGCUCAAGGACCUCGAGUUCCUCAAGCAGAACAAGCUGGACUCGAUAUGA